GACGAACGCUGGCGGCGUGCUUAGCACAUGCAAGUCGAACGGUGAAAGCGGAGCUUGCUCCGCUGGAUCAGUGGCGAACGGGUGAGUAACACGUCGGCAACCUGCCCCUCACUUCGGGAUAACUCCGGGAAACCGGGGCUAAUACCGGAUAUGACCUCCUUGGGCAUCCUUGGAGGUGGAAAGCUUUUCGGUGAGGGAUGGGCCCGCAGCCUAUCAGCUUGUUGGUGAGGGAGUGGCUCACCAAGGCGACGACGGGUAGCCGGCCUGAGAGGGCGACCGGCCACACUGGGACUGAGACACGGCCCAGACUCCUGCGGGAGGCAGCAGUGGGGAAUAUUGCGCAAUGGGCGAGAGCCUGACGCAGCAACGCCGCGUGCGGGAUGACGGCCUUCGGGUUGUAAACCGCUUUCAGCAGGGAAGAAGCCGCAAGGUGACGGUACCUGCAGAAGAAGCACCGGCUAACUACGUGCCAGCAGCCGCGGUAA
Molecule: ribosomal RNA, 485 nt
Filed under: uncultured bacterium
Lineage: Bacteria
Description: partial 16S ribosomal RNA
Rfam family: Bacterial small subunit ribosomal RNA
Source: RNAcentral